This 3434-nucleotide unclassified non-coding RNA is filed under the name Pomacea canaliculata. Its description in RNAcentral is "carbohydrate sulfotransferase 9-like, transcript variant X1". Lineage: Eukaryota; Metazoa; Mollusca; Gastropoda; Architaenioglossa; Ampullariidae. The record is from RNAcentral.
CCUGACCCCAAAUUAAUUUGGACCUGGCAGCCGAAGGUGCGGCGAGUACCCGACUUUCCUAAGUGUACUGUGAGGAAGGGUUCUUGAAAUCACGGAGAGCAGUCAUCGGGUGCAGUGGCAUUGCUCUGCCUUGUGUCUUGUUCACCUACCAUGGUGUGGCCGGCCAAGGUCGACGGGAGCCGAUUCUUGACGGGAAAGCAGCUGUGGAUGGCGAUCUGCGGGAUCAAGCGAAUCGCCAAAUGUCGCCUAGACAAGGUUUACAUGUUCACAUUUGUCACGUGCUUGUGCGCUCUCUUUCUGAUAUCCUGGAAACGCCAAGACACCUACAGAGUCUCCAAGGAAAUCGAAGUUCCCAGUUCAGAGUGUCAUCGCUGGUGUUACGAGUACCUUUUGGAGACAGAGGGCAUGCUGCGGCAUUUGCUCAGCAACAAGGGAAAUUUCACAAGCACCAGGUGGCAGCACGAAGGAAGCCGCAAUAAUGGUGACAAUACUCAGGUGACAGACAUUAAGCCAAACGAGGGUGGAUGGUCCAGUGCCCUGGACACGCAACACACAUUCCGGCUCGUGGAGAGGCUGCUCAAGAACGCCAUCCCGGGGCAGGGACCAUAUCCGUGGUCAAAGGUCGUGCACUCUGACCAGAAAGCUGCUAGAAAGGUCGAAUCCGUCAGCUUGACUGCGAGUUUAGGAGUGAUCGGCAAGCAGGAGGAAGAAUUAUUUGUUAUUCUUCCGCUCCAAGGAGUCAGAGGUCAAACAGAGCAAGGUCAAGAGAGUGGGGUGGGUCAAGCCCAAACGUCAUCCGAAGCACGAGGAGGGGUCUCAUCUUCUGCCUCCCAGCAGACUGGGGGAUUGGCGCCAUCCGAGAAAGACACGGUGACGCUCGUGAAGGACCUGCGGGACCGCGUCCAGCGCAUCGCCGCCCUUUGUCCUGCUGUACGCAGGAACCAGACUUCUGCCGAAGUUAAUCGCGAUCACAAAACCGCGGUCGGGCGUACCACGGGUGCUGUGUCCUCUGUGGAGAGAGUAAAGGGUGUCUUCUACGACCCGGGUAGCCGCACCGCCUACUGCUUCGUGCCUAAAGCUGGAUGCACCUUCUGGAUGCGGGUGUUCGCUUUUGUCACUAACAGAACGGGGUCGGCCAGGUCGCCCUGGGAUAUCCCUCGCCUGACCGUGCACGCCGGUGGCAACAGCAGCAACAACGAAAGUAAUUACCCCCACGGUGGUCCUCUGUGGUACUAUGAGAAAGAUGCCAUGGCCCCCGACACCCUGCGCUUUGUCGUGACACGUGAUCCGUUCUCGCGUCUGUGGAGUGCUUACGUGGACAAGAUGAUGUUACCCGAUUUCUGGAAAACCAUGGGCGUGCCAGCUGUUCGUCGUUUCAGGACACACCCGAGCCAGAAAUCCAAGAGGUGUGGCCAUGACGUCACGUUUUCCGAGUUCGUUCAGUGGAGUCUAAGCGUCCGCAACUCCCAUUGGGAGCCCAUCCAUCAGCGCUGCGACCCUUGUCGUUUCCGCCCCCACGUCGUCUCGGACCUUCACACCUUCUCGCGGGAUGCACGUCCGGUCCUGCGGCGCAUGGGCGUGGAGUGGGUGCUAACCAAUCUGACGUCACGAGGACAGCGCGAGGCCGAGCUGCGGACGCUGAUCGAGUACAACUUCGUCCUCCUUGACACCCCAUCCUUGCCCAGCGACUGUCUGACUGAGACGGAACUGGCCCGCCUGCUGUGGAAGACGUUUCAGAUCAACGGUUACCUCCCCAUAGAGGUGCAGUACGAGCAAGCUCUGACGUCGUUUUCAGUGACGUCAUUCACGGAUCACGUGAUAAGCAGAUUCCGGGCAUCGGAGGGCCUGGAGAAACGCCUGAAAGAGCAGAAACGAUACCUGAUGGAGGAGGCGUAUCGGUCUCUAUCACCGGAACUUCUACAGAGCCUCAGGGAGAAGUACGACCUCGAUUUCAAGUUGUUCGGGUAUUCGAGUUCCCCUUUUCGUGCCUAGAGGUGGUGACGACACUCUUCAGGGUGCUUAGUGGAGGAGUUCCUACCUUACAGACGCUUAGUCGCCUUUCACCUGGACUUUCGGGACCUGCAUUACGGGUUGAAAGGGUAGGUAACAGCGAGGAGUGGAAUGUGGCGAGUAGGUUUGACAAUGACCAGAGGAGUCUAGACACUCUGACCCAGUGAUAUGGGGUCAGGAGUAAAGGAAGUGAACAGUCGGCUAGGUUGAGGUGAUUAAUGUAAUAGUGGGUUGACAUAAACCGCAGAAAGUGUUUUGAUACCUUGGUAAGUGCAUGUGACACCUAGAACUAAGUGGUAUACAGACCAGCAGAUUAGAUCGGAGUUAAUGAGCCUGUUGUUGGGAGUGUGUAGCAUUGGUGCAGUGAACCUUACAAAACAAACCAAAACGGCGGGGGAGGGGGAGAGGGAGGAAGAACCGAGGGCCAAAAGCAAGAGAGAAAGAGAGAACACAAAAACAUUUUCCUGUGCAACACCCAACUGCCAUCCAAUAUGUACACGCAUGACUAUGCCCAGGCACUAGACUCGUUGUCACAUGACACAUUCUGUGCACGUCACAGUCAUCUAUCACUGUAACAACGAGUGUCACGCAGUCGCGUGACAGCGCAUGCACGCAUCGCACUAUUCGCCAGACCUCGCUACACAACGAUACGGUUGUUGCCAUGAAAAUGUUUUAGUUUUGACGAGAUAUUUUGUUAUCGCCUAUCGGUAAAACCGUCACUUAUCUAACGUCAUAUUUUGUGACCUGGCUUUAUCCUGGCUGUGAUACUUUUUGAUCUUCUAUGCGAAGCUUUGAGACGCUUUUCCCUCGACUUGCAUAUUAUGUAUGAUGUGAAGACCUUCGCCCCCAGGACAUGCGCCGACAUGUGAAAGUUGUCGGUUGAUGACCUUAAUAUGAGACGUGGGCAGCGACAAGGAAGUGGAUAAAAAGAACAUGACGGCGUUGCGAAAGAUUCCCUUCAUCCAUGUCUGACCGCUCUAUGGGACCAACCACUUCAGCCAGUUCUGCCCACGUCACGUCAGCUGGAAGCUCCAUUCAGGUUCUAUGGCAGGUGGUCGAUGUUUGACCGACUCUGACCUCCUGACCUGAUCACGUCAGUUCUCAUCGGCAGCAACAGCAUUUCUAUGCAAUAUCUGUAGCUGAUAUUGUAAAGGUUUUUUUUAAAAAUCAAAUCACAGCGAGAGCUGUCAACUUUAAAAAAAAAUUAUUUUUACACUGCCUGCUCCCGUUCCUUUUAAUUUCGAUCACGACCUCUGUGUGAGAGAGAGAGAGAGGAGAAAUUUUUAUUUAUGGGGUAACAGAAUGAGCAAAAGCUAUUACACAUCAAAGGUGUUAAUCAAUGGACAUGCUUUUUUGGCACACUGACUUUCAAACCUGGAAUGUGAUUAUUAAUUAUUAUAAAGUUUAUCUUAUUCUGAAUAUUA